This 500-nucleotide ribosomal RNA is filed under the name uncultured bacterium. RNAcentral describes it as "partial 16S ribosomal RNA". It matches the Rfam family "Bacterial small subunit ribosomal RNA", at positions 30 to 523 of the family's 1533-position model. The record is from RNAcentral.
AUUGAACGCUGGCGGCAUGCCUUACACAUGCAAGUCGAACGGCAGCACGGGAGCAAUCCUGGUGGCGAGUGGCGAACGGGUGAGUAAAGUAUCGGAACGUGCCCAGUCGUGGGGGAUAACGUAGCGAAAGUUACGCUAAUACCGCAUACGAUCUAUGGAUGAAAGCGGGGGAUCGCAAGACCUCGCGCGAUUGGAGCGGCCGAUAUCAGAUUAGGUAGUUGGUGGGGUAAAGGCUCACCAAGCCGACGAUCUGUAGCUGGUCUGAGAGGACGACCGGCCACACUGGGACUGAGACACGGCCCAGACUCCUACGGGAGGCAGCAGUGGGGAAUUUUGGACAAUGGGCGAAAGCCUGAUUCAGCCAUGCCGCGUGCAGGAUGAAGGCCUUCGGGUUGUAAACUGCUUUUGUACGGAACGAAAAGGUUUGGCCUAAUAAGCUGAGCUCAUGACGGUACCGUAAGAAUAAGCACCGGCUAACUACGUGCCAGCCGCCGCAGUAA